Prolemur simus (greater bamboo lemur) is the source of this 120-nucleotide ribosomal RNA. NCBI's taxonomy places the organism in Eukaryota, Metazoa, Chordata, Mammalia, Primates, Lemuridae. The record is from Ensembl.
GUGUAUGACCAUACCACCCUGAACAUACCCCAUCUCAUCUGAUCUUGGGAGCUAAGCAAGAUUGGGCCUGGUUAGUUACUUGGAUGGGAGAUCACCUGAGAAUAUCAGGUGCUGUAGACU